AGCUCCAAUAGCGUAUAUUAAAGUUGUUGCAGUUAAAAAGCUCGUAGUCGGAUUUCUGGCUCGGACGUGCGGUCCGUUUGGCCUUGCCAGAUGUGAACUAGCUUCGUCCAGCCAUCCUCGCGGAGAGUACGGCCCAUGUGGUCACGCAAUCCGCGUCUUUUACUGUGAACAAAUUAGAGUGUUCAAAGCAGGCUUACGCCACUGAAUACAUUAGCAUGGAAUAAUCCUAUAGGACUUUGGUUUUCUAUUGUUGGUUAUGAACCAGAGUAAUGAUUAAUAGGGAUAGUUGGGGGUAUUCGUAUUCAAUUGUCAGAGGUGAAAUUCUUGGAUUUAUGGAAGACGAACAACUGCGAAAGCAUUUACCAAGGAUGUUUUCAUUGAUCAAGAACGAAAGUACGCA
RNAcentral lists this ribosomal RNA (400 nucleotides) under phytoplankton environmental sample. RNAcentral describes it as "partial small subunit ribosomal RNA". It matches the Rfam family "Eukaryotic small subunit ribosomal RNA", at positions 587 to 995 of the family's 1831-position model. The record is from RNAcentral.